This is a long non-coding RNA of Erpetoichthys calabaricus (reedfish), 349 nucleotides long. RefSeq lists it as uncharacterized. The transcript is spliced from 3 exons. The record is from RefSeq and is a predicted model, not a curated record. NCBI's taxonomy places the organism in Eukaryota, Metazoa, Chordata, Cladistia, Polypteriformes, Polypteridae.
GUCAGCUUGUUAGCUACAGUCUGCUGAACUUUCCAGUAAAAGAAACUUUAAGUACUUCUGUGGAACUAAUGGCCAAAUUAAAAGACGAAAUGCAAUUUCCCUGGCAUCAAGAAAAAUAAAGUUCAUGGUCACAGGGGCUACAGGCUAUGCCAGUGGAAUCAGGAGCAAGGCAGGUGUUACGCUUCAGCCAUGGUUUCACUCCUGACUCAAACUAAUUUUGGGAAAUCCCGCCUGGCCCAUAUGACAUCACUUCCAGUCCCGGUCCCAAUGACAUCACUUCCUGUUCCAGGCCCGAUUACCUUAUUUCUAGUUCAGAAUCUGCUAACCUCACUUCCUACCCAACCAUAAA